RNAcentral lists this ribosomal RNA (253 nucleotides) under uncultured bacterium. RNAcentral describes it as "partial 16S ribosomal RNA". It matches the Rfam family "Bacterial small subunit ribosomal RNA", at positions 80 to 334 of the family's 1533-position model. The record is from RNAcentral.
UUUCUUUGCUGGCGACCGGCGCACGGGUGAGUAACACGUAUCCAACCUGCCCUUUACUCGGGGAUAGCCUUUCGAAAGAAAGAUUAAUACCCGAUAGCAUAAUGAUUCCGCAUGGUUUCAUUAUUAAAGGAUUCCGGUAAAGGAUGGGGAUGCGUUCCAUUAGGUUGUUGGUGGGGUAACGGCUCACCAAGCCUUCGAUGGAUAGGGGUUCUGAGAGGAAGGUCCCCCACAUUGGAACUGAGACACGGUCCAA